This 831-nucleotide long non-coding RNA is filed under the name Equus caballus (horse). RNAcentral's name for it is "lncRNA (ENSECAG00000042791.2)". The record is from RNAcentral. Lineage: Eukaryota; Metazoa; Chordata; Mammalia; Perissodactyla; Equidae.
GGCUUGCACUGAAUAUUAUUUCUUAUGAUGUUUACAUGGGGAAAAGUACUGGAUUGCUCACAGGCCACAAGUACUGGCACUGUCCCAAGUAAUGAAGAUACAAGAGUAAACAAAGAGUUCUACGUCCGUACCUCCCCAAAGGGGAAAUGGAAAACAGUUUGAUGUUUUUCUGAAUUCAUGGAGUUAUCACUGACCUUCUGUCUUCUUAAAAUCUCUACAGAGACUGUGGGUCACUGACCCUCAUGAAUACUCACACCACUCAGGACUUUGGGAUUUGGAGAAAGGCGGCUGUGCCAGGUCAUCUGGUUAGAAGCGCCCUGCUUUGUGCUCCAGUGGCCUCCUGUACUUCCUCAAUCAUAUACACUCACACCUUAGUGCUGCUGCUUGACGGACUUCUGUGCUGGAGACGUGUUGUGUAUAUGAGUUAAACAUAUCAAGCUAAUAUAUCGUGGUGGACAGAAUAACGAAGAGUGCAGACCAUGGAGCCAGGUAGCCUGAGUUUGAGAAUCUUGGUUCCACCACUUACUAGCUGCAUGGCUUUUGGCAAUGGUGGCUGGCCUCUCUGAUUUUCCUGGGAGUGUUGCCUUGGCUACGAGAAGCUGAGAGCUCAAGGUGAGCCUGGAUCUGCACCUGCAGCAGCAAUAUUUCCAGCAUAUGCUUCAGCAUCAACCUUUACUGUGGAGUGCUGGGGCCAAGAGAGGCAGAAGUCCGGUGGAGAUUUGGAUCUGGGUCCCCAAACUACCAUUUUAUUCCCAAUAGUCAAAGAUCUAAGAGUGUUUUCAAUAGGCUAUUGUGAUUAACAUCAAUUAAAAGAAAAAGAAACUAUUUCUC